UACUACGGGAGGCAGCAAUGGGGAAUCUUGGACAAUGGGGGCAACCCUGAUCCAUCCAUGCCGCGUGAGUGAUGAAUGCCUUACGGUCGAAAAGCUCUUUCGCCUGUGAAGAUAAUGACGGUAGCAGGUAAAGAAACCCCGGCUAACUCCGUGCCAGCAACCACGGUAAUACGGAGGGGGUUAGCGUUGUUCGACAAUUACUGGGCGUAAAGCGCACGUAUGCUGAUCGCAAACUUGGGGGUGAAAUCCCGGGGCUCAACCCCGGAACUGCCUCCAAAACUAUCGGUCUAGAGUUCGAGAGAUGUGAGUGGAAUUCCGAGUGUCCACGUGAAAUUCGUAGAUAUUCAUAGGAACACCAGUGGCUAAGGCUGCUCACUGACUCGAUACUGUCGCUGAGGUGCGAAAAUGUGCGGAGCAAACAGGAUUUAAAACCCUGGCAGACCACACCCUAUACGAUGAAUGCCACUCUUCGGGUAGCAUGCUUUUCGGAGACACCCCUAUAGGAUCAACGGUUCCCCCG
RNAcentral lists this ribosomal RNA (520 nucleotides) under bacterium A6M_VP7_D1. RNAcentral describes it as "bacterial SSU rRNA". It matches the Rfam family "Bacterial small subunit ribosomal RNA", at positions 337 to 873 of the family's 1533-position model. The record is from RNAcentral.